GUGAAUCAUCGAAUUUUUGAACGCAGAUUGCGCUUCCUGGCAUCCCGGGAAGUAUGCCUGUUUGAGGGUCAUUAUUAAUAAAAAAUCGGGUUGGUUGCAAAUUGUGACGGUUCCGGAGUUGGGGCUAUCUUAACUUGUUUGGUUAAGGUGCUUAAAAUUGACCUGUAUUUCGUAUUUUUAGACGUACAUAAAUUUUUUUUGUAUGCGUCUAUUCGUAAUUCCAAAAUCUUAUUUGAUGUGAUGACAGCGUGUGGUUUCGUGUC
RNAcentral lists this unclassified non-coding RNA (263 nucleotides) under Glomeraceae sp. RNAcentral describes it as "partial contains 5.8S ribosomal RNA and internal transcribed spacer 2". The stretch from base 1 to 71 matches the Rfam family "5.8S ribosomal RNA", at positions 84 to 154 of the family's 154-position model. The record is from RNAcentral. Lineage: Eukaryota; Fungi; Glomeromycota; Glomeromycetes; Glomerales; Glomeraceae.